This 243-nucleotide ribosomal RNA is filed under the name Triticum aestivum (bread wheat). Its description in RNAcentral is "partial small subunit ribosomal RNA". Lineage: Eukaryota; Viridiplantae; Streptophyta; Magnoliopsida; Poales; Poaceae. The record is from RNAcentral.
AUGUUAGAAGGUGCUAAAUCAAUAGGCGCCGGAGCUGCUACAAUUGCUUUAGUCGGAGCUGCUGUCGGUAUUGGAAACGUCCUCAGUUCUUUGAUUCAUUCCGUGGCACGAAAUCCAUCAUUGGCUAAACAAUCAUUUGGUCAUGCCAUUUUGGGCUUUGCUCUCAUCGAAGCUAUUGCAUUGUUUGCCCCAAUGAUGGCCUUUCUGAUCUCAUUCGUUUUCCGAUCGCAUAAAAAGUCAUGA